CCUACGGGAGGCAGCAGUGGGGGAUAUUGCACAAUGGGGGAAACCCUGAUGCAGCGACGCCGCGUGUGGGAAGACGGGCCUCUGGGUUGUAAACCACUGUCCCCAGGGACAAAGAUGACGGUCCCUAUCGAAUAAGCCACGGCUAACUACGUCCAAGCAGCCGCGGUAAUACGUAGGUGGCAAGCGUUGUCCGGAUUUACUGGGUGUAAAGGGCGUGUAGCCGGGCUGACAAGUCAGAUGUGAAAUCCGGGGGCUCAACCCCCGAACUGCAUUUGAAACUGCUGGUCUUGAGUAUCGGAGAGGCAGGCGGAAUUCCUAGUGUAGCGGUGAAAUGCGUAGAUAUUAGGAGGAACACCAGUGGCGAAGGCGGCCUGCUGGACGACAACUGACGGUGAGGCGCGAAAGCGUGGGGAGCAAACAGGAUUAGAUACCCUAGUAGUC
RNAcentral lists this ribosomal RNA (441 nucleotides) under uncultured bacterium. RNAcentral's name for it is "partial 16S ribosomal RNA". It matches the Rfam family "Bacterial small subunit ribosomal RNA", at positions 338 to 795 of the family's 1533-position model. The record is from RNAcentral.